Molecule: ribosomal RNA, 191 nt
Filed under: Bacillus sp. (in: firmicutes)
Lineage: Bacteria; Bacillati; Bacillota; Bacilli; Caryophanales; Bacillaceae
Description: Bacillus sp. (in: Bacteria) partial 16S ribosomal RNA
Rfam family: Bacterial small subunit ribosomal RNA
Source: RNAcentral
CUACGGGAGGCAGCAGUAGGGAAUCUUCCGCAAUGGACGAAAGUCUGACGGAGCAACGCCGCGUGAGUGAUGAAGGUUUUCGGAUCGUAAAGCUCUGUUGUUAGGGAAGAACAAGUGCAAGAGUAACUGCUUGCACCUUGACGGUACCUAACCAGAAAGCCACGGCUAACUACGUGCCAGCAGCCGCGGUA